RNAcentral lists this ribosomal RNA (756 nucleotides) under uncultured Pseudomonadota bacterium. RNAcentral's name for it is "bacterial SSU rRNA". It matches the Rfam family "Bacterial small subunit ribosomal RNA", at positions 70 to 822 of the family's 1533-position model. The record is from RNAcentral. Lineage: Bacteria; Pseudomonadati; Pseudomonadota.
AAAGGGUCCUUCGGGAUCUGAGUAGAGUGGCGUCCGGGUGAGUAACGCGUAGAUCAUCUACCUUCGGGUGGGGAAUAACUCAGGGAAACUUGAGCUAAUACCGCAUAACAUCGAAAGAUCAAAGCAGGGGAUCGCAAGACCUUGCGCCUGAAGAGGAGUCUGCGUCUGAUUAGCUAGUUGGUAAGGUAAUGGCUUACCAAGGCUUCGAUCAGUAGCUGGUCUGAGAGGACGGCCAGCCACAUUGGCACUGAAACACGGGCCAAACUCCUACGGGAGGCAGCAGUGGGGAAUUUUGGGCAAUGGGCGAAAGCCUGACCCAGCAAUGCCGCGUGAACGAUGAAGUCCUUCGGGAUGUAAAGUUCGGAAGUAAGGAACGAAAAGCUUUGGGAUAAUACCCCCAAGUGCUGACGGUACCUUAUCUAAGCCCCGGCUAACUACGUGCCAGCAGCCGCGGUAAUACGUAGGGGGCAAGCGUUGUUCGGAAUUACUGGGCGUAAAGCGCGCGUAGGCGGUCUGAAAAGUCAGAUGUGAAAGCCCCGGGCUCAACUUGGGAACUGCAUUUGAUACUGUCAGACUAGAGUACAGAAGAGGUGACUGGAAUUCCCAGUGUAGCGGUGAAAUGCGUAGAUAUUGGGAGGAACACCAGAUGCGAAGGCGGGUCACUGGGCUGAUACUGACGCUGAAGUGCGAAAGCCAGGGGAGCGAACGGGAUUAGAUACCCCGGUAGUCCUGGCCCUAAACGAUGGAUACUUGGUG